CCUACGGGUGGCAGCAGUGGGGAAUAUUGCACAAUGGGGGAAACCCUGAUGCAGCGACGCCGCGUGAGUGAAGAAGUAUCUCGGUACGUAAAGCUCUAUCAGUAGGGAAGAAAAUGACGGUACCUGACUAAGAAGCCCCGGCUAACUACGUGCCAGCAGCCGUGGUAAUACGUAGGGGGCAAGCGUUAUCCGGAUUUACUGGGUGUAAAGGGAGCGUAGACGGCAGGACAAGUCUGGAGUGAAAUCCCGGGGCUUAACCCCGGAACUGCGUUGGAAACUGUGCGGCUGGAGUGCAGGAGGGGUAAGCGGAAUUCCUAGUGUAGCGGUGAAAUGCGUAGAUAUUAGGAGGAACGCCGGUGGCGAAGGCAGCUUACUGGACUGUAACUGACGUUGAGGCUCGAAGGCGUGGGGAGCAAACAGGAUUAGAUACCCUUGUAGUC
RNAcentral lists this ribosomal RNA (440 nucleotides) under uncultured bacterium. RNAcentral's name for it is "partial 16S ribosomal RNA". It matches the Rfam family "Bacterial small subunit ribosomal RNA", at positions 338 to 795 of the family's 1533-position model. The record is from RNAcentral.